AAAGAAGAGUAUUAUCGAAGAGGAGAUAGAAGAGAGAGAGAAAUGGCUGACAUACUUUGCUUGUCGUCACUGUUUUUUCUUUUUCCUGCUGUUUUGCUAUCACUCUCAA
RNAcentral lists this non-coding RNA (109 nucleotides) under Polytomella parva. Lineage: Eukaryota; Viridiplantae; Chlorophyta; Chlorophyceae; Chlamydomonadales; Chlamydomonadaceae. The record is from RNAcentral.